RNAcentral lists this ribosomal RNA (346 nucleotides) under uncultured bacterium. Its description in RNAcentral is "partial 16S ribosomal RNA". It matches the Rfam family "Bacterial small subunit ribosomal RNA", at positions 338 to 681 of the family's 1533-position model. The record is from RNAcentral.
CCUACGGGAGGCAGCAGUGAGGAAUAUUGGUCAAUGGGCGCGAGCCUGAACCAGCCAAGUAGCGUGAAGGAUGACUGCCCUACGGGUUGUAAACUUCUUGUAUAAAGGAAUAAAGUGAGGCACGUGGGCCUUUUUGAAUGUACUUUAUGAAUAAGGAUCGGCUAACUCCGUGCCAGCAGCCGCGGUAAUACGGAGGAUCCGAGCGUUAUCCGGAUUUAGUGGGUUUAAAGGGAGCGUAGAUGGGUUGUUAAGUCAGUUGUGAAAGUUUGCGGCUCAACCGUAAAAUUGCAAUUGAUACUGGCAGCCUUGAGUACAGUUGCGGUCGGCGGCAUUCGUUGUGUCGCGG